CAGCUGACGAGUCCUUUACUGACGCUAAAGCUCGAAGGUGCGGGUAUCGAACAGGAUUAGAUACCCUGGUAGUCCGCACGGUAAACGAUGGAUGCCCGCCGUUGGCGAUACAAUGUCAGCGGCCAAGCGAAAGCGUUAAGCAUUCCACCUGGGGAGUACGCCGGCAACGGUGAAACUCAAAGGAAUUGACGGGGGCCCGCACAAGCGGAGGAACAUGUGGUUUAAUUCGAUGAUACGCGAGGAACCUUACCCGGGCUUGAACUGCAGGGGAACGAUCCAGAGAUGGUGAGGUCAGCAAUGACCCCUGUGGAGGUGCUGCAUGGUUGUCGUCAGCUCGUGCCGUGAGGUGUCGGCUUAAGUGCCAUAACGAGCGCAACCCUUUUCUCUAGUUGCCAUCAGGUUAAGCUGGGCACUCUGGAGACACUGCCACCGUAAGGUGUGAGGAAGGUGGGGAUGACGUCAAAUCAGCACGGCCCUUACGUCCGGGGCUACACACGUUGACGGGCGGUGUGUACAACGAGUCGGUAGUAAGCAAAUGCGAUCCAAUCAAGAAAGCUCUCCUCAGUUAGGAAUGGGGUAUGCAACCCGACCCCAGAAGAA
This 600-nucleotide ribosomal RNA is filed under the name uncultured bacterium. Its description in RNAcentral is "bacterial SSU rRNA". It matches the Rfam family "Bacterial small subunit ribosomal RNA", at positions 722 to 1327 of the family's 1533-position model. The record is from RNAcentral.